Fukomys damarensis (Damara mole-rat) is the source of this 116-nucleotide ribosomal RNA. The record is from Ensembl. Lineage: Eukaryota; Metazoa; Chordata; Mammalia; Rodentia; Bathyergidae.
GUCUACCGCCAUACACCCUGAACCCACCUGAUCGCGUCUGAUCUUGGAAGCUAAGCAAGGUCAGGCGUGGUUAGUACUUGGACGGGAGAAUUGUGCUAUCCUAGCAACUGUGGUUG